RNAcentral lists this ribosomal RNA (459 nucleotides) under uncultured bacterium. Its description in RNAcentral is "partial 16S ribosomal RNA". It matches the Rfam family "Bacterial small subunit ribosomal RNA", at positions 338 to 795 of the family's 1533-position model. The record is from RNAcentral.
CCUACGGGAGGCAGCAGUGAGGAAUAUUGGUCAAUGGCCGAGAGCCUGAACCAGCCAAGUCGCGUGAGGGAAGAAUGUCCUAUGGAUUGUAAACCUCUUUUGUCAGGGAGCAAUGUCACCCACGUGUGGGUGUUGGAGAGUACCUGAAGAAAAAGCAUCGGCUAACUCCGUGCCAGCAGCCGCGGUAAUACGGGGGAUGCGAGCGUUAUCCGGAUUUAUGGGGUUUAAAGGGUGCGUGGGCGGGGGAUCAAGUCAGCGGUAAAAUCGUGGGGUCCAACUCCAUCCAGCCGUUGAAACUGUUGUUCUAGAGUGGGCGAGAGGUAGGCGGAAUGCGUGGUGUAGCGGUGAAAUGCGUAGAUAUCACGAAGAACACCGAUGGCGAAGGCAGCAUACUGGCGCAUGACUGACGCUGAAGCACGAAAGCGUGGGUAGCGAACAGGAUUAGAUACCCUGGUAGUC